Molecule: non-coding RNA, 645 nt
Organism: Mauremys mutica (yellowpond turtle)
Lineage: Eukaryota; Metazoa; Chordata; Testudines; Geoemydidae
Source: the annotation of a RefSeq genome assembly
AUGGCACUGUGGUUAUUUUUCCUUCUCAUUGAAACAGCUUCCACAGGUGCUUUUUCACAGGUUCAGCUGGUGGAGUCCGGAGGGGGUGUGAAGAAACCCGGAGACUCUCUCCGCCUCUCCUGCAAAGCCUCCUGCUUCACCUUCAGCAGCUACUGGAUGCAAUGGGUCAGAGAGGCCCCUGGACAGGGACUGGAGUGGAUCAGGGAAAUACACCCAACUUCAACUACCAUCAACUACGCCCAGCCCUUCAAGGGACGCUUCACCAUCUCCAGGGACAACCCCAACAAUCUGCUGUAUCUGCAAAUGGCCGGCCUGAAGCCCGAGGACACCGCCCGGUACCACUGUGCAAGACACGCAGGCCCGCUCCCAGGUGGUUCUGACCCAGUCGGGGCCAGCGCUGAAGAAGGCCGGAGAGUCCCAUACGCUGCAAUGUGCCACCAGCGGGUUCGCUCUGAGCAGCGCCUGGAUGGGCUGGGUCAGACAGGAGCCGGGAAGGGGCUGGAGUGGCUGGUUGAGUAUUAUGAUGAGUCAGAAAACCAGCACAACGCCUCCUCCAUCCAGGGCCGAUUCACAGCCGCCAAGGACAGCACCAGCUUCUACCUGCACGUGAGCAGCCCGAGAGCGGAGGACACCGCCGUGUGUUAG